AGGGUUUGAUUCUGGCUCAGGACGAACGCUGGCGGCGUGCCUAAUACAUGCAAGUCGAGCGAUGAUUAAAGAUAGCUUGCUAUUUUUAUGAAGAGCGGCGAACGGGUGAGUAACGCGUGGGAAAUCUGCCGAGUAGCGGGGGACAACGUUUGGAAACGAACGCUAAUACCGCAUAACAAUGAGAAUCGCAUGAUUCUUAUUUGAAAGAAGCAAUUGCUUCACUACUUGAUGAUCCCGCGUUGUAUUAGCUAGUUGGUAGUGUAAAGGACUACCAAGGCGAUGAUACAUAGCCGACCUGAGAGGGUGAUCGGCCACACUGGGACUGAGACACGGCCCAG
This 338-nucleotide ribosomal RNA is filed under the name uncultured bacterium. Its description in RNAcentral is "bacterial SSU rRNA". It matches the Rfam family "Bacterial small subunit ribosomal RNA", at positions 8 to 334 of the family's 1533-position model. The record is from RNAcentral.